This is a long non-coding RNA of Malaclemys terrapin pileata, 2861 nucleotides long. RefSeq lists it as uncharacterized. The transcript has 4 exons. NCBI's taxonomy places the organism in Eukaryota, Metazoa, Chordata, Testudines, Emydidae. The record is from RefSeq and is a predicted model, not a curated record.
UUGGUUUGUUUUAAAUUGACCAUCGGGGGUGACUGAUUGAUCACGUGCUAGUAUUUGAAGUCUCCACUAUUUUGAAUUUUUCCUCUAGAAGAUCAGACAUGCAGCCUCGCCUUGACCCCCCCCCGCAAAAAAAUCAUUAAAAUAGGAAUGCAGCUAACCUAUCCUGCUCCGCCACGUCACGACGUCAUGCUUUACGUAGUAAAAUAUGGAGAAAGGGGGAGGGGGGCGUUUUCUCUCCUCCCUUUGCCUCCCAUCUCCAUUUCCAAAAUGGACAAAAUGGAUGUUUGGUAACAUUCCUCUAACGGUGCCUGUGCGCGGAGCACUCACUUGCCUCCCCCAGGUCAAACUAGGCCUCUGCGAGACUCCUCCAAAGGUCCCCAUUUCCCUGCCAGAGGUAUUGGGGCGGGGGGGUGGCAAGCAGACGUAUCUAUUUAACCCCACGUAAAGACAACGUGACCAGCAAGACUCCGCUUCCAAUGCCUCUUUGCAGCCCUCUCCUGAGGCGAGAGCUGCUGCUGGAUUUGUCCUUCCCCGGGUGGAUUUAUUUGGUUUUUCUUGCUUCCUUCGCAGGCAUCGUUUUGAGCUUCCUUUCUCUACCCUAAACCCUGGGAGGCUGGUUUUUCCCUCUCUCCCUUUCUCUCGGCUGAAGCUUUCAUAGCUUUGACGGUAGUUGAUGUGUGUGGUACCUAAAUCAUUGAGGAUGCAGAUGUGGGGCGUGUAGGAGGUAAAUACCCCCCCACACACUCCCCUUUCAUCUUGUCUUUCUGGGUUGUUUUUUUCUCUCUCCUCUUCUCCUGCUCAUCAAUUCACUCGCUGACUGAUGCACCGUGAGAAUUGCUGGACCGCCUGCCUUUGCGGGCAGCCUGAAAGUUACAGACACUCCUGGAGGGGGAGGCGGGGGAAGCGAGCACUCCGCUCCCAGAGACCCCUUCCUCAUUUAGCACCACCAGCCACAAGUUUUGAACUUGGAAUAAAAGGGCCGGAAGAACAACCCGAGCCCCAGCCCAGCCCAGGCACCUUUCAGAGCUGUUCAUCUCCGCUUAGCAAGUUGUCUUCUAAAUUACAGGGACCCUGCGAGGCUGGUGCUCGCUGCAGCGUCUCUGCCUGCACUGGUGGGGGGUUUCGGAUUAAACUGGGGCUUCCCAUGUGAUUUCCCCCCCCCAUCGAACUCAGUGUUGGGGGGGGGCGGGGGCGGACACCAAAGGCGUGAACACAAAUCCUGCCUGCAGAUCAGGCCGAGCUCGGAACAAUGGAGCCCAAUUCAUUGUGGACAAUGACCGCUGGGUCUGCUACUUGGAGUGCUGGACACGUUCGCCACAGCUCGGGCUGCUCUGGGGGACCGACAACAGCGGAGUCUGGGCAGAGACGCUCCCUCCUCGCCUCUCGCUGGAGCUGUGAGAAAAUCCUUUUGCAGAAGAGGAAGAAAACCAAACCACGGCCACCUCGGAUGGCUGCAGUUCUGCACCAGUCCCAGCCGGGGAAGAGGGAUGGAAAGAAGCAUGCCUAGUUCAGGGGGGAAAUAAAGAACAUUGGAACACGCAGGCUUUGAACUUAGCAUAGCUGAGAAGGUUCUGUUCUCUCAGCUGGAAUGCGACCUACAACACGGCACGUAAGAACGGCCUAGAUGUGUGUGUGCCUGCAACGCACGGUCAAGAUGCAAACUUUCCACAGGCAUCGAUGGGGACAGGAGAAAACAAACUCAAUCUGGCCCAGGAUCUGCAUAGAGACAGCGAGGACUCGACAGAGACAGGUUACACCUCCCCAGGCCUAGGGUGGGCUGGACUUUUCCUGCCUAGGAGGAAUUGCCUGGUCAGGAAGAGAUUAAUGUCAUUGUCUUCUACCUGCAAUGCUUUGAGUGGCUCUCGAUGACUGGCUGGCUUGGCUGUAUAACUCCAAGGCAAGGAUGAAAGUCUGGGGGAUCCAGGGAGGGAAGGAGCUACCUUACUGCCCACAUGGACGCUAGAGGCGCCUGGCUGUCUUGCAGAAGGAAAUUCUGCCAUCCCGCUGGCCUGACCCUAUCCCAGAGGGCUCCGCCAACCGAUUCCAUCCACGUCCGGGGGUCAGGCAGGCCUGGAAGGCGACUCACUUAGCGACGGAGAUUCAUGCUGCGCAUCUCACGCCACCACAACUGGGCUUCUCCGGGGGCGAAGUGGCUUGAUCAGAAGAUGUGAUGUUGGAUGAGCACAAAAGCCACAAGAACGGCCCGGUAUUUGUAAGAGGUUCCAUCUGAAGAUUUGUUUCCUUUCCGAAAUAAAAACAGUGACUAGCGUGUGGAAAGCGUUGAUGGGAGGGGACGGUCAUUCUUUUUGUAAAUGGCCAAAAAACAAACAAACAAACAAACAAACGGUUGGCCAGCUGCAUUCUCGGUAGUAAGACAAGCGGUGCAUCUCCCUCUGAGCAGAAGCACCAAGGUAAACAGAGUCAAAUCCAGUGCGGGGGGUUGCAUUCUGCCUCCUAAAAUUCCCCCUGUGGUUUCCACUGGAUACGGAAUUAGUCUUCACUUCCUGUUCUAUGGGGUUGUAUAGUUGUCAUGAACCCCACUUGGGCCACUGGUGGGAUUUCAACCCAUAAACAGUGAUUAAUGCUUAAUCUCAAAGACUAAAUCCAACAGCUGGAAGCCGGGGCAGACUGAGUCUUUUAUGUGGACUAGUCACUAGAAGGUGAUAAAAGCCCCACACCUACAAGCACGGGUUACAUAGCAUUGCUACGUGCUGUUACACAGAUACUGUGUCCCACCCCGAAGGCAUGUCUAAUUUGGGUAUCAGUUUGUAACGCGACUUGGGACCCUAUGGAAUGAAAGACAGUAUUGGCUGUGUAAAUUCUUAGGUGAGAUGUGUAUUAAAAUAUGAAUUUGACUCAUA